AUUGAACGCUGGCGGCAGGCCUAACACAUGCAAGUCGAGCGGAUGAGUGGAGCUUGCUCCAUGAUUCAGCGGCGGACGGGUGAGUAAUGCCUAGGAAUCUGCCUGGUAGUGGGGGACAACGUUUCGAAAGGAACGCUAAUACCGCAUACGUCCUACGGGAGAAAGCAGGGGACCUUCGGGCCUUGCGCUAUCAGAUGAGCCUAGGUCGGAUUAGCUAGUAGGUGAGGUAAUGGCUCACCUAGGCGACGAUCCGUAACUGGUCUGAGAGGAUGAUCAGCCACACUGGGACUGAGACACGGCCCAGACUCCUACGGGAGGCAGCAGUGGGGAAUAUUGGACAAUGGGCGAAGCCUGAUCCAGCAAUGCCGCGUGAGUGAUGAAGGCCUUAGGGUUGUAAAGCGUCUUUUUACCCGGGAAGAUAAUGACUGUACC
Molecule: ribosomal RNA, 432 nt
Filed under: uncultured bacterium
Lineage: Bacteria
Description: bacterial SSU rRNA
Rfam family: Bacterial small subunit ribosomal RNA
Source: RNAcentral